This 497-nucleotide ribosomal RNA is filed under the name uncultured bacterium. RNAcentral's name for it is "partial 16S ribosomal RNA". It matches the Rfam family "Bacterial small subunit ribosomal RNA", at positions 28 to 507 of the family's 1533-position model. The record is from RNAcentral.
GAUGAACGCUGGCGGCGUGCCUAAUACAUGCAAGUCGAGCGAACAGACGAGGAGCUUGCUCCUCUGACGUUAGCGGCGGACGGGUGAGUAACACGUGGAUAACCUACCUAUAAGACUGGGAUAACUUCGGGAAACCGGAGCUAAUACCGGAUAAUAUAUUGAACCGCAUGGUUCAAUAGUGAAAGACGGUUUUGCUGUCACUUAUAGAUGGAUCCGCGCCGCAUUAGCUAGUUGGUAAGGUAACGGCUUACCAAGGCGACGAUGCGUAGCCGACCUGAGAGGGUGAUCGGCCACACGGGAACUGAGACACGGUCCAGACUCCUACGGGAGGCAGCAGUAGGGAAUCUUCCGCAAUGGGCGAAAGCCUGACGGAGCAACGCCGCGUGAGUGAUGAAGGUCUUCGGAUCGUAAAACUCUGUUAUUAGGGAAGAACAAAUGUGUAAGUAACUAUGCACGUCUUGACGGUACCCAAUCAGAAAGCCACGGCUAACUACGUG